AUGGAGAGACAUUUCAAUGAGUGCCUGCCAAACCUGACAGCUGCAGGAUCUUCCUGCAGUGGAUUUAGUAAAUGUUUGAGUGUACAAACUCAAACAUUUUUUUAUCCCCAAACACAUUCACAAUAUAAACUUCUGAAACUCACUGAAAAUGAACAAUUAAAGAGCAAUGUGAAUAAAGGAGAAUGGAAGAAUUAUCUGUGUUUUUGGAGCAUGGAUACAUACUAUGCGAAGAGGAAAUCUGAGCUGAGACCUGGAAAUGCCAUUCUACCUACAUAAGAUACUCUUAUCAG
Molecule: long non-coding RNA, 290 nt
Filed under: Anas platyrhynchos platyrhynchos (common mallard)
Lineage: Eukaryota; Metazoa; Chordata; Aves; Anseriformes; Anatidae
Description: lncRNA (ENSAPLG00000028042.1)
Source: RNAcentral